Molecule: long non-coding RNA, 1200 nt
Organism: Anas platyrhynchos (mallard)
Lineage: Eukaryota; Metazoa; Chordata; Aves; Anseriformes; Anatidae
Source: RefSeq, a predicted model, not a curated record
CCUCCCGGUGCUGGGCCAUCCACAGCACCCCUGGCUCGUCCUCUGCCAGGAUCAGCCCCUUGCAGCAUCUGCUGAGGUUCUCGUCUGGAGCUCAUUAGCUCCAGCAGGCACGAGGAGACCCAAUCAACAUUAUUUAAUUUAUAAACAGGAAGCAGCUGGCCCCUUCUUUGCAUAUGGAGCUAAUUUUAAAAUACAUUCACCCACCCCGGGGUGGGAGGCAGCACAGGUUGGGCAGUGCCCAGCCAAGUGCUCCGAGGGGGUUAUAAAGCAGAGGGUGCUUUCAGGGUGGCUGUUUCCACUCCUUAAAACCAUCUCUGUGUUGCUGUGCUGGUUUGGAGAGCCCCUUUGGGUGCUCAUCUUUAAGUCUUAAUUAUCGGCCAAAGCCCAGAUCCUGGCGAGUGUUUCAUUCCUCAGAGCGAGGCCAUUUGAACUCUGCCAUCGCCGCCUUCAGAGGCAUCAGCCUUGCGCCGAACCUGCUCCAUCGCCAUUAGCAUACGUGGUAAUUUAUACGGCUGUUUUAAUUGAGUGCUCAGACCUCGGGGUCACGUAUGGAAAUUAAACAAUACGAGGAGCGGCUCCAGCCACUUCGGGGGCUGCGAGCGUGCACGCAGACGCCCACACAAGCGCGGAGACCUGGGGAGCAGAAGGAGGAUGCUGAUGGUGUGAGGAAGGAGCCGAGAGGUCCCUGCUGCCCACGAUGGGGUGGAGGAGAUGGAAACACCCCAGGAAAACGCAGGGAAACUGAGGCAAGCUCACUGGUGGCUGCUGCGUUUUGCCCUGCAGAUCCCUGUCUUGGUUUGUUUUCCCUGCUUGGCACCGUUUUGGGAAACGUGCAAAUAAUAAUAAGCAUUAAAUGCUAUAAUACGCCGUGAUCCGAUGACUCAUGGGUUAAUUCUCACUCAAAACCAGACAUUUAUUCCCGGAAUGUAAAACAUUUUAACAAUAUUAGUCGUGAAAAAGGAAUGGGGGCUCUUUUUUGUCAGGAUUGUGUUUUUUAAGUUCCAUUAAUUCUUUGUUCAAUUGAUGCAUAUUCAAAACGGUAUAAGUGGGGCCCUCACUGCUUCAAUUAGCAUUAAUGCACAAUUAUUUUUCUCCAUAUUUAUGCUGCUCUUUGCAGGGCACGGUUUUUGGUUGUUGUUGUUGCUGGGCUUUUUUAACAUUUGUAUGUUAAUUCAGCGUUUAAAAGAUCUUCUCCCCAAA